GUCGCGUAGCAAAAUAUGCCAGCUCGGCACCGUAUUGGGGGAGCGUCUGCUAUCAUUUUCAUGUUGUUGGAAACUCAACAAUUAGUUUUUGCAAGUAGCACGCAUUUGGUUGGUGGGAGCAGGAGCACAAAGAGCGUAGCACUACACAAAACGAAGCGGAAGAGGAGGAGAUAAAAUAAUAGAAAAAACGUUCUCCAAUUACCAAUACCUUCGGCAAUGUUUUUCACAUUUUCACACAAAGCGCGCACACGAAAGUACAUAAAAUAUAAAGCAAAACGUUGUGGUAUCUUUGUUAAGCACUUUGCAACUAUUUUAAACGAAUAAAUUACUAAAUAAAUACGUUAAAA
Non-coding RNA from Drosophila virilis, 347 nucleotides. NCBI's taxonomy places the organism in Eukaryota, Metazoa, Arthropoda, Insecta, Diptera, Drosophilidae. The record is from RefSeq and is a predicted model, not a curated record.